GUUCAACCUGCAUGAGCCAGGUUGAAAACUGACCCACAUAAAAAAAAUACAAUUUUUUCAAACCCAACCUGGGUCGAACCCGUGAUGGGCCUAGUUGAUCCGUGGAUUGUGACCCAUUUUGACAACUCUAACUAGGAGGGGUAAAAUACAAAACGAACACCAAGAGCUCAAGUUAAGUACCACACCCUUAAAGUCUUGUCCCAUUUUUAGUCAUAUGAGUAUGUGUCCAUUUUAUUUGUUAAUAUAUGAUUUUGCACUAAUUAUUAUUAAAUACUAAUUUCAUUCUAUUAUAAUUUCAUGUCUUCCUAAUACAUUCAUCUCCAUAAAGCAUUGUAUUCAUUCCAUUAAUCUCCAUAAAAUUACCAAGCCAAAUUUUCACAUUCUAUAUCAAAACCUCAAUUCCUUUCUCCACGAACAACACAUCCAAUUUCAAUUCACAAACACCCACAUUUUCUGUGAGCACCCCUAGUUUUUACCUCAUACACCCCAUAUUUCAUGUUUUCGAUUUUGUCUGGGCUAAACCCAUCACUUCUUCGUGGUUUUUUCCACUCAUACACCUUCACUAUUAUUUUUGUCUUGGUUUGUUCUUCUUUUAGUUCAUAUACCCCCCAUAGUUGAUAACCCCACACCUCUAUGUCUGUUUGUUUUUUUAAUCUUGAGCUUGCUUUUAUUUUAUCCUGUGGCAUCUCAAUUUUUGUCGCACACACCUCUUACUAAUUGCUCGCCACACAUUUUACUAUUAUGCAUCAUUGUUAAUUUUAUUUUCUAUUUUUGGAUUUUUAUUUUAGACACUUAUUUUAAAUUUAUCAUACUUAUAUAAUUUAAAAAUAAUAAAAAAUCAAAAAAAUUAAAAAUACAAAAAAUG
RNAcentral lists this long non-coding RNA (865 nucleotides) under Vigna radiata. RNAcentral describes it as "long non-coding RNA (VRAD_LNC008784)". The record is from RNAcentral. Lineage: Eukaryota; Viridiplantae; Streptophyta; Magnoliopsida; Fabales; Fabaceae.